Molecule: long non-coding RNA, 199 nt
Filed under: Ananas comosus (pineapple)
Lineage: Eukaryota; Viridiplantae; Streptophyta; Magnoliopsida; Poales; Bromeliaceae
Description: long non-coding RNA (ACOM_LNC040060)
Source: RNAcentral
ACAUGAGGAUUGGGUACUUGAGACGUUGACUACGCUUGCUUGCCAUUUGUGUUCAUUCGCACAUGCUUGUGAGGGUCGCUCCCUACAAGCCGGCACUUCGGAGUUAGCCUACGCGACUUAUGUUCGCUCGUGCGGUAUUGAGAAGCCUACGGGGUCGAGUGGGACAGACACAUUCCAAGAGUAGGGAUGUUGGGCUACC